AAAAAAAUAUUAGUAAAUUUUGCCAUAGCAGCAGUAUUAACAGCAGAUAUCAACAAUGGCCCAAAUGUUCGUAUUUGUGCAUCCCUAACAAUUAUUGUUCUGUAGUUUACAAAAUUUAAUUAACUUUUUUAGUUAACCAGGACAAAAACUAUACAAAAGUCUUAAAUAAUAUUUGAGUUUAUAAUGAAGCAGCAUGUUUACAAAGACGCUUCUAAAAAAUUGCCUAUACUCCAGUUUUCAGCCAAUUUUAUAAAUGAACUUUCACUUUGCCCUGUUAUGUUCCGGGGUUCUCUGGUUCUCUUGGUGGGGUUUUUCCUGUGCGCCUUUUCCACCUCUUACCACCAGAUGGCGACAGGUUCCGGUUGGAGUGCGGUGGUAUCAUCAUCAUCCACAGCUGUCAUCAAUUACCCUCAUCAGCGGAGCAUACUUAAGGAGUUGACCGCCAGUCCAGCGUCGCCUGAGUGUUUGCCAGUCACGGUACCUCUGAGCCCCCUUGAGCCCUGUCUCUGUGUUCCUCGUUGCCUUGAGCCUUCCUUUGAUUCUCUUUGUGUUUCUCUGUUGCCUUCAGGAGAUCCCUUUGACACUCUGGACCCGCUGACCAGAUCCUGGCAGUUUCCUUGGUUUCAGAACCUCCCUCGUGACGCCGUGGAAAGUAUCCACUGGUUGCCCGAGUUCCCAGACUCACCUCUCCGUUGUUUGCAAGUAUCUCCUGGACCCCACGGCUGGCGGCCGAAUCACUCCUCUGUGUCUCUGUUGCACCCGAGCCUACCUGUCCGUUCUCCGCCGCACUCCUCCGUUGUUCCUGGACCCACUAGAGACCGAGACCCUGGACAUACUCAGUAACCCUCCAAGAUUCAGAUCCAGCCACCACCAAUGAACCACUGCUGCCCGUUACAGUUGAUUCCCUGGACCAGACCACCUUCCCACACUCUGAUAAUUGUGUACCUUAAUAAAUCACUUAAACUGAU
Long non-coding RNA from Xiphophorus couchianus (Monterrey platyfish), 968 nucleotides. RefSeq lists it as uncharacterized. The record is from RefSeq and is a predicted model, not a curated record. The transcript is spliced from 2 exons. Lineage: Eukaryota; Metazoa; Chordata; Actinopteri; Cyprinodontiformes; Poeciliidae.